GGAAGAGGUAAUAUAAUAACAUUUGGGUUGUGAGAAAUUGAUUUCCUACUUGGUAUGUUCUGUUUACUAUUUCUCUUCCUAUUAAUGUCAAUAUCAUCUUGUAUUCGUGAAUUUGUAUUUUGAAAUUGUAUUUCUACAUUUCCAUCGGUAUGUUCUAUUAUAUGAUUGGGAAUAUGAUGUUGAGGAAUUUCUUGUGGUUGAUUGGCAUUUUGUAAUGCCCAUGAUUGAGGUAGAAUUAUAU
Molecule: long non-coding RNA, 241 nt
Filed under: Amborella trichopoda
Lineage: Eukaryota; Viridiplantae; Streptophyta; Magnoliopsida; Amborellales; Amborellaceae
Description: long non-coding RNA (ATRI_LNC005190)
Source: RNAcentral